UCAAGCAUUUAAUACAAUACUCAUUAUAAAGGAAAAAAAUUAAAGUUUCCAAUUUUUUCGGCUUCAAAUAGUUCAACAGAUGAGAUAUCGAAGCGUUGCAAUAGUUUCACUUACUUUACCGCAUUAACUUUUAUUUUAAAUAAUUAAGAUACCGAUCGCUUAUCAAAUUUUAACCAAAAUUUCAUUACUAAUAAUAAGAUAAUGCUGUUAAGAGCUGAAAACAGCGACGAUUGUUUAAUUUAAUUGUAUGAAUGGAAACUCACAUGCAUAAAUUGAAUCAGUGUAAAAAAACUCAGAAAGCUUCUCAUUACAUAAGUCUUAGCUGUUCAAUUCAAAACAUUGAAAGAGCGCAUAGCAUUUACAGGAUAUGUAAUGAUACGUUGCAGAAUCAAUCGUGUCAUAUUGCUGCGUAGUAUAACAUUGUUAUUAAAAAACCAAAAGAAACUGUCUUUAGUAGCGUGGCUUGCACACAUUAAGAACGUUGAGUUAUUUAAGUCAAGAUAUUUUUAAAUUCGAGGGUAAGCUGAUAAAGCAUUGAAGGAUAGAGACUUAUUAAAUGACUAGAUUGUAUUCUUUUUACAGAUUUUUAAAUAUUACUAGCAUGUUCAGGUAGGAAUUGUCGUAAAGUUUGAAUCUGAGAUUCUUCUUUUUCCGCUAGAUCAAGACGCUCAGCCUUGCGAAACUGUUCAAUAGCUUGUUUACGCUUUUUUAUGUUUUUUUUAAGUACUCGCAGAACGUCUAAGUCUGUAGUAACUGGCUUACUCGACUUGUUUGCAUAUUCGAUUUCCGAGAGAAAUACCUAAGCUUGUUAGCGUCAUAUUCAUCUACAAACAUAGAUAACAUAGUUCUGACAGCCUCUUCACAUUGCUUGAACACUGAUGCAAUUUAACAUGUAGACCGUCACGUUUUAUUUCCAACGUACUUUUAAAGUAGACGCAACAUCUUUUUGCCUAGAUUUCAUGGAAUCCAGCAAUUUUUUACGAAUAACUGCUUGAAGAUUUGGGAUUGCUGAAGCGUUAGCAAAUAAAUGACUAUUCCUAAGUUUGCUUACAUGUACUAUUAUAGCGUAAGUAUUGUACAUUACGAAUAGCUAUCCUUGAUGUGUGUACUAAGCGUUGAUUAAACAUUGAAUUCUUUUUCUUGGAUUAUGUUUUCAGGUCAGACCCAAAAAUUCCCCUAAAGGUGGUGUAGCGCAGAAAGUAUUUGGUAGUAGGAUUAUCCCAUUUUGUUUGGAGAUGUGGAAACUAAAAUAUGCGAAAUCGCUCAUUGACAGUGAGGUAACUCCAUCAAUUUAGCAAUAUUUAUUUAUUAGUACAAACUGAUUUUAAGAUUGAUUGCGAAAAUGAGACAUUUGCUUUCGGUAGAUUUUACAAUUAAAUUAAUGGUUAUUCAAAAUCAAAAUUGAAAAACAAGCAAUACAGUGCCGGGUAAUAACACUUACGCCUACAAUUAGGUCCUGCUACCUAAGACCUAUAAUUUAGUUUCCCUAUUAACAGAAAUGCUUUAUAAAGACCUCAUCUUAAUAUGUUAACAAAAGAUAGUUAUUAAUAGUCUCAUUUAUUGAACAGCCUGGUGUAUGUUGGAGACAAAAUGAAUUCGCAGUAGUUGAAAUGCAUAAGUAUCCAGCAAUCAGAAGCUUUUAUGAAAGAUUAAAUUCAUCUUUUUAAUGAUAUGGAGUAAUUUUUCUACGACCAACCAUCUGGCCAGCGCAGAAAAUACCAACUAUUUCAACUGCGAUGAAAAAAUUGCGGCCCCAUGCUUCAGAGGAUUGACUUUUCCAAAAAAGGAAGGGAGACUAAAAGAGAAAUUAGUGGAUCUGUUCUUUGUAGCAAAUAGUUGCUUACAUGAGUAUUGGAAGGGGGUGCAAUUUUUUGAGAAUGAUAUACUUGUUGAACCAGCUCUUUCGAAACAUUUGCCCAGUACAUAAUAGGUUGUUGUACAGCUAAAUUGAAAAAGUUAGUUAAACAAAUUAACCGUUAUGUUUAAAAUACCCGAUAAUUUUUGGAUUAAGGGAGUGAAACGACCCUUGGCUUGUUCAGCAACUGUUUUAGUAGAGUAGUGACUCUUCCUUAAAAAAUUGUAAUUAAUACGAGAGAUAAUUCGACUUGUGGAAAACAUUAUACUUCGAAAUAGCCUGAAUUGGAAAGAGAUGGGAUUCGGUAAGUUAAGGUUGUGAUGAA
Non-coding RNA from Schizosaccharomyces pombe (fission yeast), 2180 nucleotides. The record is from the annotation of a GenBank genome assembly. Lineage: Eukaryota; Fungi; Ascomycota; Schizosaccharomycetes; Schizosaccharomycetales; Schizosaccharomycetaceae.